UCUCACAAGCUAAAUACUCAAAUGCCACAAAGUUUAUAUAUAUAGUUUUUUAACACAAUUAUCUAUCUUUUCCAAAAGAUUUGAGCCAGAAAUUCUUCUAGAAACUCAAGAUGUGGCUCCAACUAUUACUAUGAAUAAAAUCAAUUACUUAUUGCCUUUGAUUUGGAUGCACUGACUUCAACCCCCUAUAACUUCUUCAUUUAAGCUCCAAAUUCAUCAAACAAUACAUGAAAGGUGUAGUCAAAAAAGUGUUCUCUCCAAACCUAA
RNAcentral lists this long non-coding RNA (267 nucleotides) under Physcomitrium patens. RNAcentral's name for it is "long non-coding RNA (PPAT_LNC014142)". The record is from RNAcentral. Lineage: Eukaryota; Viridiplantae; Streptophyta; Bryopsida; Funariales; Funariaceae.